This 882-nucleotide long non-coding RNA is filed under the name Mytilus galloprovincialis (Mediterranean mussel). Lineage: Eukaryota; Metazoa; Mollusca; Bivalvia; Mytilida; Mytilidae. The record is from RNAcentral.
UUUUGUUGGGUUUUUUUUCGUCAUGGCAUCAUACAAAUAAGAAUUACAAAGUUAAACAUCAUGUAAAUUUUUGUAAAAUUUAAAGAAAAAUCAAACACGAUACCCAACCUAAGCAACAUGACCACACAAAAACACAAAAGAUAUCUAGAGGUCAAUGAGAGAGAAACAUGAACACACAAAAAACAAAAAAGAUAUAUAUAGGUAAAUAAGAGAGCAACCAGAACCAGACCACACAAAAACACAAAAGAAAAGUCAAUCAGACGGCAACAAAAUCACACCAAAAUAACAAAAGAUAUCUAUUAACCAAUAAUAGAGCAAUAUGACUUCACAAAAACAUAAAUGAUAUUUAAUCAAACACAAAAAAUUAUCUAGAGAUCAAUGAGACAGCAACCGAUAAAGACAAAAGGUAAAUAUUAGCCAAUAUGAGUGCAACCUAAUUAACAAAAACACAAAUGGUAUUUCGAAGUCUACAAGACAACUACCAACCCACACAAAAACACAAUACAGAGCAACCUAAUCACAUGAAAAUAUCAAGACGAAAAAUUAGACAGCAACCAGACCACACAAAAAACACAAAAUAUAUCUAUUAGCAAUAUAACUACACAUAAAACAAGAGGAUAUCUAGAAAUCAAUGAAACAGAAAACAGACCACACAAAAGAAACACAAAAAAAUAUCUUAAAGUCAAUGAGAAAACAACCAGAUCACAAAAACACAAGCGACAUCUAAAAGUUAAUGAAAGAGCAAAAUGACCACACAAAAACACAAAAUAUAUCUUGAGGUCAAUGAAAGAACAGCUGAAGGUCAAUGAAACAUCAACCUGUCCAAACAAAAGAUAUCUAGAGAUCAAUGAGAUGGCAACAUGGCCACAUGUAAAACACAAA